UACGUAGGGUGCAAGCGUUAAUCGGAAUUACUGGGCGUAAAGCGUGCGUAGGCGGUUUGGCAAGAAAGAUGUGAAAUCCCAGGGCUUAACCUUGGAACUGCAUUUUUAACUGCCAGGCUAGAGUAUGUCAGAGGGGGGUAGAAUUCCGCGUGUAGCAGUGAAAUGCGUAGAGAUGCGGAGGAAUACCGAUGGCGAAGGCAGCCCCCUGGGAUAAUACUGACGCUCAGGCACGAAAGCGUGGGGAGCAAAC
This 250-nucleotide ribosomal RNA is filed under the name uncultured bacterium. RNAcentral describes it as "partial 16S ribosomal RNA". It matches the Rfam family "Bacterial small subunit ribosomal RNA", at positions 524 to 773 of the family's 1533-position model. The record is from RNAcentral.